Amblyraja radiata (thorny skate) is the source of this 89-nucleotide long non-coding RNA. RefSeq lists it as uncharacterized. The transcript has 3 exons. NCBI's taxonomy places the organism in Eukaryota, Metazoa, Chordata, Chondrichthyes, Rajiformes, Rajidae. The record is from RefSeq and is a predicted model, not a curated record.
GAGAGGUCGAGUAGGAUGGGUCUCUAUUCCUAGGAGCGCAGGAGGAUGAGGGAUGAUCUUAUAGAGGUGUACAAAAUCAUGAGAGGAAU